This is a small nuclear RNA of Monodelphis domestica (gray short-tailed opossum), 106 nucleotides long. The record is from Ensembl. NCBI's taxonomy places the organism in Eukaryota, Metazoa, Chordata, Mammalia, Didelphimorphia, Didelphidae.
GUGCUCCCUUGAGCAAUACACGUACUAAAAUGAAAUUGAUACAGAGAACAUAAUAUGGUUUCUGCACAAGGAUGACAUGCAAAUUUGUGAAGUCUUCCAAGUUUGA